RNAcentral lists this ribosomal RNA (441 nucleotides) under Paracoccus yeei. Its description in RNAcentral is "bacterial SSU rRNA". It matches the Rfam family "Bacterial small subunit ribosomal RNA", at positions 20 to 505 of the family's 1533-position model. Lineage: Bacteria; Pseudomonadati; Pseudomonadota; Alphaproteobacteria; Rhodobacterales; Paracoccaceae. The record is from RNAcentral.
UGGCUCAGAACGAACGCUGGCGGCAGGCCUAACACAUGCAAGUCGAGCGAGGACUUCCGGUUCCUAGCGGCGGACGGGUGAGUAACGCGUGGGAAUGUGCCCUUCUCUACGGAAUAGCCCUGGGAAACUGGGAGUAAUACCGUAUACGCCCUAUUGGGGAAAGAUUUAUCGGAGAAGGAUCAGCCCGCGUUGGAUUAGGUAGUUGGUGGGGUAAUGGCCUACCAAGCCGACGAUCCAUAGCUGGUUUGAGAGGAUGAUCAGCCACACUGGGACUGAGACACGGCCCAGACUCCUACGGGAGGCAGCAGUGGGGAAUCUUAGACAAUGGGGGCAACCCUGAUCUAGCCAUGCCGCGUGAGUGAUGAAGGCCUUAGGGUUGUAAAGCUCUUUCAGCUGGGAAGAUAAUGACGGUACCAGCAGAAGAAGCCCCGGCUAACUCCG